CACCGGCGGCUCGAGUGGUGGCCACUUUUAUUGGGUCUAAAGCGUCCAUAGCCGGCUUGGCAAGUCCCCUGGGAAAUCUGGCGGCUUAACCGUCAGGCGUCCAGAGGAUACUGCCAGGCUUGGGACCGGGAGAGGUGAGAGGUACCUCAGGGGUAGGGGUGAAAUCUUGUGAUCCCUGAGGGACCACCAGUGGCGAAGGCGUCUCACUAGAACGGGUCCGACGGUCAGGGACGAAAGCUGGGGGCACGAACCGG
RNAcentral lists this ribosomal RNA (254 nucleotides) under uncultured microorganism. RNAcentral describes it as "partial 16S ribosomal RNA". It matches the Rfam family "Archaeal small subunit ribosomal RNA", at positions 474 to 727 of the family's 1478-position model. The record is from RNAcentral.